RNAcentral lists this ribosomal RNA (1434 nucleotides) under uncultured organism. RNAcentral describes it as "16S ribosomal RNA". It matches the Rfam family "Bacterial small subunit ribosomal RNA". The record is from RNAcentral.
CGGCAGGCCUAAUACAUGCAAGUCGAGGGGUAGAGAGAGCUUGCUUUCUUGAGACCGGCGCACGGGUGCGUAACGCGUAUGCAACCUACCUUUAUCUGGGGGAUAGCCCGGAGAAAUCCGGAUUAAUACCGCAUAAAAUCACAGAAUAGCAUUAUUUAAUGAUCAAACAUUUAUGGGAUGAAGAUGGGCAUGCGUGUCAUUAGCUAGUUGGCGGGGUAACGGCCCACCAAGGCGACGAUGACUAGGGGAUCUGAGAGGAUGGCCCCCCACACUGGUACUGAGACACGGACCAGACUCCUACGGGAGGCAGCAGUAAGGAAUAUUGGUCAAUGGAGGCAACUCUGAACCAGCCAUGCCGCGUGCAGGAAGACUGCCCUAUGGGUUGUAAACUGCUUUUAUCCGGGAAUAAACCUUUCUACGUGUAGGAAGCUGAAUGUACCGGAAGAAUAAGGAUCGGCUAACUCCGUGCCAGCAGCCGCGGUAAUACGGAGGAUCCAAGCGUUAUCCGGAUUUAUUGGGUUUAAAGGGUGCGUAGGCGGCCUGUUAAGUCAGGGGUGAAAGACGGUAGCUCAACUAUCGCAGUGCCCUUGAUACUGAUGGGCUUGAAUGGACUAGAGGUAGGCGGAAUGAGACAAGUAGCGGUGAAAUGCAUAGAUAUGUCUCAGAACACCGAUUGCGAAGGCAGCUUACUAUGGUCUUAUUGACGCUAAGGCACGAAAGCGUGGGGAUCAAACAGGAUUAGAUACCCUGGUAGUCCACGCCCUAAACGAUGAACACUCGCUGUUGGCGAUACACAGUCAGCGGCUAAGCGAAAGCGUUAAGUGUUCCACCUGGGGAGUACGCCCGCAAGGGUGAAACUCAAAGGAAUUGACGGGGGCCCGCACAAGCGGAGGAGCAUGUGGUUUAAUUCGAUGAUACGCGAGGAACCUUACCCGGGCUUGAAAGUUAGUGAAUGAUCUAGAGAUAGAUCAGUGAGCAAUCACACGAAACUAGGUGCUGCAUGGCUGUCGUCAGCUCGUGCCGUGAGGUGUUGGGUUAAGUCCCGCAACGAGCGCAACCCCUAUGUUUAGUUGCCAGCAUGUAAUGAUGGGGACUCUAAACAGACUGCCUGUGCAAACAGAGAGGAAGGAGGGGACGACGUCAAGUCAUCAUGGCCCUUACGUCCGAGGCUACACACGUGCUACAAUGGAUGGUACAGAGGGCAGCUAGCUGGCAACAGUAUGCGAAUCUCACAAAGCCAUUCACAGUUCGGAUUGGGGUCUGCAACUCGACCCCAUGAAGUUGGAUUCGCUAGUAAUCGCGUAUCAGCAAUGACGUGGUGAAUACGUUCCCGGGCCUUGUACACACCGCCCGUCAAGCCAUGGAAGUUGGGGGUACCUAAAGUAUGUAACCGCAAGGAGCGUCCUAGGGUAAAACCGAUAACUGGGGCUAAGU